CCUGGCUCAGAUUGAACGCUGGCGGCAUGCCUAACACGUGCAAGUCGAACGGCAGCACGAACUAGUUUACUAGUUGGAUGGCGAGUGGCGAACGGGUGAGUAACGCGUAGGAAUAUGCCUUGAAGACUGGGAUAACUUGGGGAAACUCAAGCUAAUACCGGAUGAUGUCUUAGGACGAAAGCUGGGGACCAUUUGGCCUGGCGCUUUUAAAUUUACCU
This 218-nucleotide ribosomal RNA is filed under the name uncultured bacterium. RNAcentral's name for it is "partial 16S ribosomal RNA". It matches the Rfam family "Bacterial small subunit ribosomal RNA", at positions 18 to 232 of the family's 1533-position model. The record is from RNAcentral.